This 486-nucleotide ribosomal RNA is filed under the name uncultured bacterium. RNAcentral describes it as "partial 16S ribosomal RNA". It matches the Rfam family "Bacterial small subunit ribosomal RNA", at positions 30 to 507 of the family's 1533-position model. The record is from RNAcentral.
AUUGAACGCUGGCGGCAUGCCUUACACAUGCAAGUCGAACGGCAGCACGGGUGCUUGCACCUGGUGGCGAGUGGCGAACGGGUGAGUAAUACAUCGGAACAUGUCCUGUCGUGGGGGAUAGCCCGGCGAAAGCCGGAUUAAUACCGCAUACGAUCUACGGAUGAAAGCGGGGGACCUUCGGGCCUCGCGCUAUAGGGUUGGCCGAUAGCUGAUUAGCUAGUUGGUGGGGUAAAGGCCUACCAAGGCGACGAUCAGUAGCUGGUCUGAGAGGACGACCAGCCACACUGGGACUGAGACACGGCCCAGACUCCUACGGGAGGCAGCAGUGGGGAAUUUUGGACAAUGGGCGAAAGCCUGAUCCAGCAAUGCCGCGUGUGUGAAGAAGGCCUUCGGGUUGUAAAGCACUUUUGUCCGGAAAGAAAUCCUUGGCUCUAAUACAGUCGGGGGAUGACGGUACCGGAAGAAUAAGCACCGGCUAACUACGUG